CUCCCAUUGUUGCACCAAAUUUUACUGUUGAGGAUACUUCUGCAGAUUCGAUAUUAGUAAAAUGGGAAGACAUUCCUGUGGAAGAACUUAGAGGCUUUUUAAGAGGAUAUUUGUUUUACUUUGGAAAAGGAGAAAGAGACACAUCUAAGAUGAGGGUUUUAGAAUCAGGUCGUUCUGACAUAAAAGUUAAGAAUAUUACUGACAUAUCCCAGAAGACACUGAGAAUUGCUGAUCUUCAAGGUAAAACAAGUUACCACCUGGUCUUGCGAGCCUAUACAGAUGGUGGAGUGGGCCCGGAGAAGAGUAUGUACGUGGUGACAAAGGAAAAUUGUAAGUUUCAGGUUGCUGUUGAGGUGCUUUCCAUCCUGCAUGCGUAGUGUUCCAGUGAUUCUUGGUUUAUGUAGGAACCCCUCCCCGCCCUUUCUAAAAAACAUGCACAUUUUGUUGCAGUUUUUGGCUGGUAGAGGGAAGGGUUAAAAAGCUGUAAGAUUACUUCAUGUUUAUUCUUGUCAGUUAUUUGAAGUUAUUUCCAAAUGAGUACCUAAGAAAUUA
RNAcentral lists this small RNA (552 nucleotides) under Pan troglodytes (chimpanzee). RNAcentral's name for it is "retained intron". The record is from RNAcentral. Lineage: Eukaryota; Metazoa; Chordata; Mammalia; Primates; Hominidae.